GAGCAUGUAGGCGGCUAUGUAAGUCGGUUGUGAAAGCCUUCCGCUUAACGGAAGAAUGGCGGCCGAAACUGCAUGGCUUGAGUGCGGUAGGGGAGAGUGGAACUUCUGGUGGAGCGGUGAAAUGCGUAGAUAUCAGAAGGUCAACGCCGGCGGCGAAAGCGACUCUCUGGACACGUAACUGACGCUGAGUGUGCGAACGCUAGGGGAGCAAACGGGAUUAGAUACCCCGGUAGUCCUAGCCGUAAACGAUGGGCACUAAGUAGAGGGGUUUGAUUAUUCUCUGCCGGAGCUAACGCAUUAAGUGCCCCGCCUGGAGUACGGCCGCAAGGCUAUCAACUCAAAAGAAUUGACGGGCUCGCACAAGCGUGGAGCAUGUGGCUUAAUUCGAUGCAACGCGAAGAACCUUACCGGGGCUUGACAUGGUAGAAGUAGAAUCCUGAAAGGGUGACGAUCGUAUCCCAGUCCGAAGCUAUCACAGGUGU
This 482-nucleotide ribosomal RNA is filed under the name uncultured Planctomycetales bacterium. RNAcentral's name for it is "bacterial SSU rRNA". It matches the Rfam family "Bacterial small subunit ribosomal RNA", at positions 565 to 1041 of the family's 1533-position model. Lineage: Bacteria; Pseudomonadati; Planctomycetota; Planctomycetia; Planctomycetales. The record is from RNAcentral.